This 484-nucleotide ribosomal RNA is filed under the name uncultured bacterium. RNAcentral describes it as "partial 16S ribosomal RNA". It matches the Rfam family "Bacterial small subunit ribosomal RNA", at positions 30 to 507 of the family's 1533-position model. The record is from RNAcentral.
AUUGAACGCUGGCGGCAGGCCUAACACAUGCAAGUCGAGCGGAUGAAGGGAGCUUGCUCCUGGAUUCAGCGGCGGACGGGUGAGUAAUGCCUAGGAAUCUGCCUGGUAGUGGGGGAUAACGUCCGGAAACGGGCGCUAAUACCGCAUACGUCCUGAGGGAGAAAGUGGGGGAUCUUCGGACCUCGCGCUAUCAGAUGAGCCUAGGUCGGAUUAGCUAGUUGGUGGGGUAAAGGCCUACCAAGGCGACGAUCCGUAACUGGUCUGAGAGGAUGAUCAGUCACACUGGAACUGAGACACGGUCCAGACUCCUACGGGAGGCAGCAGUGGGGAAUAUUGGACAAUGGGCGAAAGCCUGAUCCAGCCAUGCCGCGUGUGUGAAGAAGGUCUUCGGAUUGUAAAGCACUUUAAGUUGGGAGGAAGGGCAGUAAGUUAAUACCUUGCUGUUUUGACAUUACCAACAGAAUAAGCACCGGCUAACUUCGUG